AAGACGCUCUUGUGCUGGCCCGUGUCAUCAUCAUUCUUAUCGUGGAUUGCCAACGUCAAUCGCCUCGACAACAACCACAUCCACGACUCCGCCGUUCCAAUAAUUUUGCCGCGCCGCUCUUCAAAUCCGAGUCCUCGUCCGUAGGAUCGUCGUUGACCUCGCAACUUCAGCUCGAGUUAAUUAUGGUGAGUUGAUCUGUUAUUCCCGUCAACUAAAUAAAUGGUUGGAUUAAAUAGAUGCAUCUAUUGCGAUGAUUCUCUUGUCUAUUAUUUGAUGUGGAGGUUAAAGUUGAAUUUCGGGUUUAUGUGAUCAGUGUAUUGGUAAAAUAUAUGUGGUGUGACGAUGCUCUACUUGAUAGAUUAAGUAUAGUGUGAUGUUUUAUUAGUUAGGAUAUUUUAAGGAUUAAUUCAAAAGAGUGGUUUAAAUAGUUAGUUAAGUUAUUUCGGUCCAUACUUCGAGUUUCGUGUUCCAAAAUAAUGAGUCUAAGUAAUUAGUCUUCUAGUAUUACGCUUUAGUCAAAUAGAAAGGUGGAACUCAUAUGGUCUAUUGUUUUCCUAAUAAAUGAAUCUAGGUUUGAUAGUCUUCUGUUGUUGGGCCUUAGCUAAGGAAAGUAGACGUGCGUAUAAUUUAUUGUUCCUUGAUGUUUGAGUUAAAUUUGGUAAAACUAGAAAAUUGUGAUUGUUGUGUUUAGUGAGUUAUAGGUGUCUAGUGCUUACGUAGGAUUGUGUCGAUGUCUUGCCGCUAAGUAUUUGAUUCUCUUUUCUACAUCAUCCGGUUACUUUAUGCUCAUACAUGUGCAUCGUGCAUCUCAUGAGGUACGAUAAAUAAUCGCGUGAUGCGGAAGACGAGCCAAGUCGACCUCAAGUGUGGGCUACUCCGCAUGGUGAUACUGAUGGACGAACCUGCCUGAUCAAGUGCUAGGACAAGGAUGAUCAUCAAGUGGACGUCGCCUAACAACACUAACCUAGUGUUACUCAGGCAAGCCCCGGUGCAUUUGCCACCUCCUUGCUGUUUUAAAAUCUUUAUCACCUUAUAUGAUGCAUUAGGUGAUAGGAGUUGUGUGCUAAACCGUUGAUGCAUUUCCUUCCUUGGAACAUUGAUUUCCCUUCCUUGAUACCCUUUUUGAAAAGAAUUUUAUGAUGCUUAGCCUUGCUUUAGCAAACAAAACUAUUUUAUUUUAAAACAAAAGUGAUGCUUCAAUGGGUGGGAAUGUUUUCAAAAAGAAAAACUUGUGAUGGUGGAUCCAUCAGGGCCAUGAUGGGUUCAACAUCGGAAAAGAUGUACCUCUGUCAGGUACCAAACUUUGGGUUGAAAAUAAUAAAGCUGAGACCGGACGGUUGACUUGCACGAGAAGGGAGUCUCGGUGUAGUGUCUCCGUCUGAGUCGAUCAAGGACCGUCUCGAUGUAGGCUUGCUGAUCGAGGACCUUUUAACUGGUCACAUGCCUCAUCAUGGGUAAACUUUGCCUCGGGCAGACUAAUACCAGAAUAAGAUAACACAUAAUGGGAGUGGAGAGAUGGCGAGAGUAGCGUGUACCCUCGGUGGCAAGAGGCUGGACGGUGGUGUAUCUGUGCUCUCGGUUGGCGUGAACCUGAUCUGAUCUUAAGAAACCCGGUGGCGAGUUGACAUAUGCAAGGGUUAAGUGCUACAUAUGUCGUGUGAUUGGAGAUCCCCAGCUGGAUAUUAAUCGAUUCAGAUCGCCGUUACUUCUUGGACAUGAACACUUGGUCACUGCCCUACACGUAGCAAUCCAGUGAACUGAAGGGUUGAUAAAAAGACGGCUAGUAUAGGCCAAGUGCUUGAACUAGGGUAGAAAGAACUCUAGAUGCAGAUAACUUUACUUAACCUGACAAGUAAAAAUGGAUUUUUAAGGAUCCACUCAUAGUAAGCUUUUCGGCAAACAGAGUCCUUGAUUCUUGAUAAGCCAUACCUUGAACCCUUUUGUAACCAGCAUACCCUUGAGAGUCUUUUCUUUAGUCGGGUAAGUCUUGCUGAGUACUUGUGUACUUAGGGUUUUACCCAUUGUUGCUGCAGGUCGCGAGUCACUUUGGUUGUGAUUGGUGUUAAGCGCCGGUGGGCACGACCUUCUUAUAAGUAUAAGUACUUCUUCUAUACUUCUUAUUGAGGAUGGUCACUUGAGCUAGCAUAUAUUUCAAAACUACAAAUAAUUUAUAACUGUUCAAAGUUCCUUCGUUGAAUCACUUUUGUAAUCACUCCGAUCAUGUAUAAAGUAAAAUUUUUGUAACUUGUAAAAUUUGGUAAUAAGAUUUCCGCUGCAAAAAUGUUGGUGUGUGUGAUUUGUGUUACUUAAUCUUGUAAUCCUGGUUAUAAGUGGUUUAUCCGGGGUCCUUGGGACACUCGAACGGAUCCUGUUAAGUUAUUUGGUGCACAUGCACAGCCAUGUGAGGUCUUUGAGACAAGGACAGGUGCAUGUAGGCCCAAUAACUUGGGAGGUUCUGCCACAACGGCAGUACAUGCAACACAUAAUUAUACAUUAGUAUAGACCUUAGCAACACAUAUAUGAUCUUUUCGCAACACAUAUAUGCAUUGCUAAAGGGAUGGUUGUUUUGUAGUGGAUGUAGUGAGGGUUUCUUCUCGAACCUUUGUCCUUUUGACUUCAACUCUUUGGGAGACUUUCCUAUGACUUAGACACAUAUGAUUAAAGUAUAAUCCUUUUGACUAAGUCCCAGAAAGUUACCCUUUUUUCAAUCUCUCCCUAGAUUUUCUAGUUCUCCUCAAAUAGAGACCUGGAUGACACUUUCUCUACAAAUCGAUUUAAAGGGAAAACCAAAGUGGUAUAUGCAUAGUAAAAGGUGUAUGCAACAUAGUGAAACACUCAAACCUUACAUACUUAGCCUUUUUCAUCAUUUUUCUCCUUUUGACAUGUUUGAGCUUGGGAUUGAACUCCAAAUCAUUAAAUUGACAUAACUUGAUCUUGAUUGUUGACCAUGAGCUCCAACACCCUGCAAUGGUCACAUAUAACAUUUCCAAACACAAGAAUGACCCAAACUAAAUGUCAAAGUGAACUUAGGUCCGUUGGGUCCCUUCUAGGUUCUGGAUUUGAUAAUUCUCUUUCUUUUGACCAUGUCCUACUCCUUGAGCUAUGAUAUUGAGCCUUGUGAUUUAAACCAUAAACCAUAAGAAUUACCUCAAGGGUUCCUUAUGUAGCAAUGCUCAAUGUGUCAUGACCUUCCUCAGCUGAUGAACCUUGACUUCUACAAAGCCUAUUCUUCACUUUGGGUUUAGGUACCAAAGUCACCUUGACCUUCUCCCUUGCUCUAGUACCUCGAAGAUCUACGUGCCUCUGUUCUUGGUUUCACUCAGUUGACUCCAAGUCAUGCACAUUGAUUCUCACAUAAUCAAUGUCCAUCCUUCACUUAGCUUGUGAUGUCCAUUAUCCAUAGUCAUCUCAGCCUUUGGACCAUCACACUUAAUCUUCUAUGUUGAACCUUAUGAGCUUUGCACUAAGCAUAUGUUCAACACUUAGCAACACAUGUCAGUCCUUUAAUUAGGUUUUCAUCCAAACCACCAAAAACCACAAGGGAGCUUUCAAUCUCCCCCUUUUUGGUGAUUUAUGGCAAUACAUUUAAAGCUUACAAAUGAUAGAAAUUUAAAUCAUGAUUUUGAAUCCUAAGCUAUAGAAUGCUCCCUAAUUAUAUGCUUACAUGGAAAUCUCAACUUUGGCCUCAAAUGCCAAAUUACACAUACUUAGGUUAAGUGCAAAGCAUUACUACAUCUCAACAUCCAUGAGGUGCAUUGUGUUAAAUAUCAAAUUGUGAUGAUUAUGACACCCAAAUGCACACAAUCAACAUUUUGCACCAUACAGUCGUCUUAUAGACACCAAUUAAAAUGAUAUUACACCAGAAUCAACCAAUCAAGAUAGAUGAUAAAGAUACCAAUUAAACACCAUAUGAACAAUACAUAUCAACACAUGAAUAUCUAUCAUCAAGAUAAUCCAUAAGCACCAUAGAUAUGAAAUCACACAUAGACACCAAUUAAUCUUAAAUUCAUAUUAGCUAAAUAUGAUGCUAUACACCGAUGAUACUAAUUAAAGCACAAGCAUCAACAACUACAUAGUACCAGCAUCAUUAACACAACUAAUUCUUUAACACCAAAGAAUAAAAAAUAAGAUCAUGAUAAGCACUAUCAACAUUACUAAUGCGUUCUCCACCUUAAGAUCAAAAGAAACUCAAGGAGACUUCCCACCUUUAACAAGGUGAGCUCAUCCUCAUCACAAGGCUGAGCUUUGAACUCUUUAGUGCACAAAACACCUUCACCCUUAAGACAAGCUUUCCUCCUAGGUCGAGGUAAUCUUUAAUGUAUACUUCUCCCCCUUGACAUCAAACACCAAAACCUUAUCUCAACCAAGAACAUAGUAUGAUGUCAAGGGACAAUAGGGAAUGAAGCAAGGAAAUGCAACACACUAACAUUACUCCCCUUACAACUUAAACAUAUGCAAUAUAAUCAUCAGAAAGGAUCAAGGUACAAAUACUCAAAAUAAGAGUGAAAAUACCUCUUUUUGUACCAUUGUGUCGUUUACCAAGUGAUGGUGCCCUUUUUUGACUGAAGGUUCCCUUUUCAUCCAUUGAAAGGUUCCUUUUCAUGGAGCUUCUCCACACUUGUGCCUUAUCCUUGAUCUUGAUCUUUACUUGUUGCUAAGACACCAAACUUAGAGCAAAUUAUAGCAUAAUGGCACAAAAGAAACUCCUACUCUAGUAACCACUAAAGGAUGCCAAUUGGAAAGCACUACCACGCCUACCAGUUGAAAGAUUACUAAUAAAAAGAAAUACACAUGAUGGAUCACUACUAGGCACCUCACAAUCUAGUUAAUCAAUAAACAACUCCAUGGUAUCAAUUUGAAUGCAUCUAUAACCACCAAAUAGCAAAUACCAAGGAAGAUCAACAUUAUCUAAUGAGCAAAAGUGUCACACCCGGAUUUAGGGAGUCCCAAACCCUGGCGCAAAACUUCACCAAGUGUGCUGGGAUUAAGUGUUGCACAUAUGAUGACUCAUGGUACAGAAACGAAUGUCACAUCUUUAAUAUAUAACGGAGUUCUAUACAAAAUAGUUAAAUAAUUCUAUCAUACAAAGACAACGAUCCAGCAACCCGAAGUUGGCUGGGAGACGACGGCCUAGACCACUAACGAACUCACCACAUCAUCCUUCAUGUGUCUCAUCCUGCGGUACCUGUUCUUGACCUGGGGGGACUAUGAGUACAACAAGGAUGAGCUCACAUACAUUCGUCGCUCAACAAGUUGUGGGGAAUAAUAUGCAUGAUCUCACCAAAGGUCACUACACGACGGUUGAUCUUUAGCGACCCUUAUUUGGGACCGACGGUUGGUCGCUAAAAGUUAUGAACCGACGGUUGGUCGCUAAAUGCGUUUAUAGCGACGGUCUAUGGGUCGCUAAAAGUCUAGAAAUUUAACGACUUAUGGUCGGUCGCUAUAGAGGUAAGUGUGUAACCGAUGGUGGGUCGUUAUAGGGGUAUGUGAUUUUUAUGUUUCUUAUUUACUCACCAAAGCCCAUCUAAAGGCCUACUAAACAAACAAACAAACCCUAUUCCAAGCGCGCAGCCGCCGUCACUUCUCCCAUGGCCGCCCCCUCCCUCAGCCGUGGAGGGUGCCGCCGCCACCUCACCCUUGAUGCUCGCCAUCUCCCUAGCCGCCAUCUCCCUCAUGGCGCCAAGCCCAUGGCUUUCCUGGUGCUCGCCUCUCCCAGCCGUUCCUAUCUCCAGCGCUGGCUGCCAUCUCCUCCACGAGGUGUCUUCUCUGUCGCUACUCCCUGCGUGAUUCCCUUGGCCGGCGUCCUCGACUACUCAGCCAUGGAGGUCGCUGCCCCUUCUUUUCCUCAUCUUCCUCCAUCGGUUCUGAGCUCGGCGCCCCUGCUCCCUGCUCCUGUCCCUCCCAUGGACGCCGCCCCCUCCCUCAGCUCACUCCCUCUAGCUGCCAUGGAGCUCGCCCCUGCCCAAGUCCGGUUGCCUCUGUUUCCCCCUAUCUCUGUUGGCGGCUGGCGUCCCAUCUCCCGUGCGUUGGACGGCCGUCGCUUCGUUCUCAUCGCUGGCAUUUGUCCCUGCUCCAGCUAGUUCUCAUUGCCAUGCCCCUGUUCCCUAGGUCCGAGCUCGCCCAACUCCCUAGCCAUGUCUGCUCGCCCCUCUCUGUCUCUCUGCGAGCAGCAGCAUGCCGGAGAAGACCUGUGUCCUCGACGCGCGCCAGGUGUUUGAUGGGAGGUUUGAACUGGAGUUCAUCAUUAUUUUCGCUAUUUGUGGGCUUCUCUAGUUAUUACGCAACUCGUAGGAAGUGGGACGGGGCAGUAAUUCCGCAACUGGCCGUAUAUCAUUUUUUAUUUAUUAAGCUUCAAAACCAAAGCGCAACAAUCUUCAUGUUCUUCGCUCAGGGUGCAGAUGGUUCUCGGGGACGUGGUUUACACGGCUGUGCCGUUCUACAAGAGGGUGCUGAUGGUCGAAGGUAUGUUUGUUCACAUCCCUACGUCUGUUUACUGCAAGGAGCAGAUGGUGACUAGGGGCCAUCGGACAUAGUUCACAUGAUCGUUACCUGAUCAGUUACAGUCUAUCUAUAGAUAACAAGAUGAGCAUUUGAGACCAAGAGACCAACAAUACCUUAGUCCAACAUUUCCUGAACCUGCUUAUCAAUUUCGUCCUUUUUAUUGGGGGUGUAUACCUAUAUGGUCUUAUCCUGGUUGUGCUCCCAACAAUAGAGGUGUAGCGCGAUCAACUUUAUGCUGAGGUGGAAGACCUUGUGGCUUGUCAAAUAGAUGCUAAUAUUUUUCUAACAAUAGUUUGAUACUUUUAGGAACUGCAACCUCAAUAUGGUCAUCAAUUAUAUGUAAUUCCAAUAUAUAUUCGACAGCCUCUUGCUUGAUUAAAGACUCCAACUGCAAGCUAGAAAUACCAAUACAGGUCUGAACCUUGGGCAGCACCGGUACCCCUGUAACUGAAUCUUUCGAUGGAUGGUCAUGUUCAAAUUCCAACCACUUAGCAGCCCAUGCGCUAAGUUCCAUGCGCAUUUGACGCUUCCUGCCUUAGACGCUGCUGAAGCUCCAUGCGCUUCCUGCCUCUUCGUCAGCCUUGCUGGUUACACAGAAGACGCAUUUGGCUUGUUGGUGCUGCUCCUCGUGCGAGAGAAGGAGCCAGUAGUGCCACCACUGUCCAGCAGCUUGAGGACUUCAAGGUCGGUGGCUAGUGCAGCCCCCGCCCAAAGCUUAGCUGACUUCUGCAAGGAUUCCUCCUCUUCAGCUGCACACGGUCUCCUGAAUAUUCUACCUAACAUGUUGUUUCUCUAAGGCUACUAUGUGAUCUUUUUGUUAGUCACAAUCUAUUAGUUAGAAUCAUAGAGAUCCUUAGAAGCAUAGCAAAAUCACUUUCUGAGUCUUGGUCUUUCCUUUCAAGAGUGGACAAUCAGACCAUAGUUGAUAUGCAUCAAGCACUACCAGUAUCUUAUAUUGUUUGUGUAAUGUGUAUGAUUUUUUUUCAUGGCUUCUUAAACUGUAUGACCCUAGAAAUCUAAACUUUUGGGGCUAUUCAGGUGCAUGUACAUCUACUAACAGUCAUUUAAAAACUUAUAAUAUUUUAGUCAGAUUAGAUUACAUAUGCUUUUAGCAUUUGUUUUAUUGUUUAAGAUGGCCCUAGAACUCAUUCAGUUUGAUGCCAUGUUUGAUCCUUAUGUUAAAUGUCGGUCUCCACCAAAGAUACUUGUCAUCUUGAAUCCUCGAUCUGGACAUGGUAGAUCUAGCAAAGUUUUUCAUGGAAAAGUGGAACCCAUAUUUAAGGUAUGUCUAGCUGAGUAGAAGCAUGCAUCUUAUCUCAAGAUUGGAUCUGUGCUGUCGCUUCUACUAGGAACUUUGGUAUGAUCUAGUCAUGCUUCCGAAGAUCAUAUUUAGUCGGGUGUUUCAUACAACCUAAGAUGUUUAUAAAUGAGUUGUAGACAAUUUUAUAAGCUUUCUAGAAAUUCUUGGAUCACCUGUUUUGGAUGCCUAAAUCUCCAGUUAUGGAGUUUUGAAGUGAGUAGUCGAAUUCCGUCCAAAUCUGGACAACAUUAUCAUUUAAUACUGAUUGACCUUUUUAAGUGUCUAAUCUCAUGGUGGUGAUAAUACCAAAGUUGUAUAGGAUUUCUUAGGCUUUCCAUAAAGUCUUAGUUCACUAUUUUUGGAUGAAUAUUUUGUGAGUUAUGAACAAAACAAUUGACUACUAUGUGCUGUCCAGAAAAUCUGCAAUUGAGCACUUGAUUUUGUUCUUGUUUGGCUAAAUAGGAAUAAUUAGUUUUUGAUUCUUGCAUUGAUACAAUAUGAUGAUAUGCACUAGCAUUCAACUUCUGAAUUUUCACAUCUAAUAUCGAGUUUUUGGUGUUUUGGUAGGUUUUUGUGCAUGGAAGAUGACAAUGAGGUCACUUGAGAGUCACCUGUGGCUGAUGAAUGGGAUAUGCUAU
This 8439-nucleotide long non-coding RNA is filed under the name Zea mays. Its description in RNAcentral is "long non-coding RNA (ZMAY_LNC003797)". Lineage: Eukaryota; Viridiplantae; Streptophyta; Magnoliopsida; Poales; Poaceae. The record is from RNAcentral.